RNAcentral lists this ribosomal RNA (80 nucleotides) under Sporothrix sp. AMC_SG_005. RNAcentral's name for it is "partial 18S ribosomal RNA". Lineage: Eukaryota; Fungi; Ascomycota; Sordariomycetes; Ophiostomatales; Ophiostomataceae. The record is from RNAcentral.
CCCUUGCGAACCGUACCCAAUCUCGUUCUCGUUGCUUCUGGCGGGGGGGGACGGGGGGGCGCCCGAGACGGCCCCCUCCG